This 251-nucleotide ribosomal RNA is filed under the name uncultured bacterium. RNAcentral's name for it is "partial 16S ribosomal RNA". It matches the Rfam family "Bacterial small subunit ribosomal RNA", at positions 524 to 774 of the family's 1533-position model. The record is from RNAcentral.
UACGUAGGGAGCAAGCGUUAUCCGGAUUUAUUGGGUGUAAAGGGUGCGUAGACGGAGAUACAAGUUGGUUGUGAAAUCCCUUGGCUUAACCAAGGAACUGCAACCAAAACUAUAUCCCUUGAGUACUGGAGGGGAAAGCGGAAUUCCUAGUGUAGCGGUGAAAUGCGUAGAUAUUAGGAGGAACACCGGUGGCGAAGGCGGCUUUCUGGACAGUAACUGACGUUGAGGCACGAAAGUGUGGGGAGCAAACA